This is a long non-coding RNA of Oreochromis niloticus (Nile tilapia), 1241 nucleotides long. RefSeq lists it as uncharacterized. The transcript is spliced from 4 exons. The record is from RefSeq and is a predicted model, not a curated record. Lineage: Eukaryota; Metazoa; Chordata; Actinopteri; Cichliformes; Cichlidae.
CUGGUAAUGAACUAAUCAUGUGAUUCAGGUGUGUUGACCCAGGGUGAGAUCUAAAACCUGCAGGGACACCGGCCCUCGUGGACUGAGAUUGGGGACCCCUGCUCAAGGAGCUAAAAAUGACACCACCAGAAGCACAAAGACGAGCAGCUCAGCAGACUGAAUGGAAUGUGCUUCACAAGACAUGGAGAGAGGGAGAACAGGACGGUUGCCAAAGAGAUGGUGGAGGGCAUGAACAGGUCAGUCAUUUCCAGCAGAGCGGUUGGAAGUGGGCAGGCAGGUAGAUAAGUGCAGCUGUUCCGAUCAUUUGUCAUGACAGCAGAUCAUUCACCUCCAUCCAGGCCUCAACCAGUCCAGUAUGGAAUUAUUCGAACCCACAUUGCCCACAAAAGCCCAUUGACUGGGCAGAAAUUUUACUUGGAGCUUCCAGAUGCAAAUCUCCCCUUAAAUCCCGACUUUGGGCCAGCACAUGGAGUACACUAGCUUGGUUGGUUGAUCCGUUUCAGUCGACAAGCUGAAGUAUCCUUGGGCAAGUUACUGAACCUUGAGUUUCCCACAAUGCAUCCAUUUGUGAGUGUGUGUGUGUAUGGAUGAAAACACACUUAGCCAUUCAUAGAAGCGGUGUAUGAAUGUGUCUAGGAUUGGGUGAAUAAGACUUCUAGUAGAAAGCACUUUAUGUGUUCAUCUGAAUAGAAAGGGGCUAUGUAAUUACCAGUCCAUUUACACUGGCUUGUGCCCCCUCCUUAAUAGAUGAUUUCCUUUUUCAGAGGGCCAGAAAUAACAGACCUGUGCUCUGUGGAAAGUGAUUGUCCUUACACUAUGUGUAGCCACCACCCAAAAGGCCCAUUCUUUAAAAAAAUCUAAAGCAUUGAAACCAUCUGUUCUCCUUUAGUGGAGUUUCAUUUAAACCUAUUAGGAUUUAUCCUCUGGAGACCAAGCACAGCAACAUUAAUUUCAAUUUGAAAAACAAAAUGUGAUGCUCUUCACAGUGAGGGUGUGGAUCACUACAGUCUUGACCAGUCAACAAUCAUCUGGAAAAUAUGAAUAUACGAGCCAAAUCUGACUGUAUCUUUCAGUCUGGACACAAACCUGGAUGUGGUGGACCCACCAGAUUCCCUACAAGCAUGCUUAAAGCAGUUUUUGUCAAAAGCAUGAGAACAAUAGCACGAGCGGGACUUCUUUCUGUCUUUGCACAGGCAGCAACCUCCUCCCUGUGAUUAUGAAAUAAACAGUCUUGUCGUGUA